This 253-nucleotide ribosomal RNA is filed under the name uncultured bacterium. Its description in RNAcentral is "partial 16S ribosomal RNA". It matches the Rfam family "Bacterial small subunit ribosomal RNA", at positions 524 to 776 of the family's 1533-position model. The record is from RNAcentral.
UACGUAGGGUGCAAGCGUUAAUCGGAAUUACUGGGCGUAAAGCGUGCGCAGGCGGUUAUGUAAGACAGUUGUGAAAUCCCCGGGCUCAACCUGGGAACUGCAUUUGUGACUGCACGGCUGGAGUGCGGCAGAGGGGGAUGGAAUUCCGCGUGUAGCAGUGAAAUGCGUAGAUAUGCGGAGGAACACCGAUGGCGAAGGCAAUCCCCUGGGCCUGCACUGACGCUGAGACGCGAAAGCGUGGGGAGCAAACAGG